This 468-nucleotide ribosomal RNA is filed under the name uncultured bacterium. Its description in RNAcentral is "partial 16S ribosomal RNA". It matches the Rfam family "Bacterial small subunit ribosomal RNA", at positions 28 to 507 of the family's 1533-position model. The record is from RNAcentral.
GACGAACGCUGGCGGCGUGCUUAAUACAUGCAAGUCGAACGGACAGGCCCUGCUCUUGCGGGGUGCUCGAGUGGCGAACGGGUGAGUAACACGCGAGUAAACCGCCCUUGACUUUGGGAUAACUUCAGGAAACUCGGGCUAAUACCGGAUAUGAGCUCCGGCUCCAUGGUGGGGUUUGGAAAGUUUCGGCGGUUGGGGAUGGACUCGCGGCUUAUCAGCUUGUUGGUGGGGUAGUGGCUUACCAAGGCUUUGACGGGUAGCCGGCCUGGGAGGGUGACCGGCCACAUUGGGACUGAGAGACGGCGCAGACUCCUACGGGAGGCAGCAGUGGGGAAUAUUGCACAGUGGGCGGAAGCCUGAUGCAGCAACGCCGCGUGCGGGAUGACGGCCUUCGGGUUGUAAACCGCUUUCGCCUGUGAUGAAGCGUGAGUGACGGUAAUGAGUAAAGAAGCACCGGCUAACUACGUG